CUUCGUAGAUUAUUACUCCCAA
This 22-nucleotide microRNA is filed under the name Brugia malayi. Its description in RNAcentral is "bma-miR-5839-3p". Lineage: Eukaryota; Metazoa; Nematoda; Chromadorea; Rhabditida; Onchocercidae. The record is from miRBase by way of RNAcentral. RNAcentral also lists the same sequence under 1 other name.